This 3165-nucleotide long non-coding RNA is filed under the name Homo sapiens (human). RNAcentral describes it as "HSALNT0234783". The record is from RNAcentral. Lineage: Eukaryota; Metazoa; Chordata; Mammalia; Primates; Hominidae.
UCUUUUGUGGAUCUUCAGUUACUUCAGGCCAUCUGGAUGUAUGCGUGCAAGUCACGGGAUGUGAUGGCCUGGCCUGGGCUCAGAGGCCUGACAUUCCUGCCUUCUUAUAUUAAUAAGACAAAUAAAACAAAAUAGCGUUGAAGUGUUGGAGCGGCGGAAAUUUUUGGGGGGUGGUAUGGAGAGAGAACGGGUGAUGUUUCUCAGGGCUGCUUCGAGCGGGAUUAGGGGCGGCGUGGGAACCUAGAGUGGGAGAGAUUAAGCUGAAGGGAGGUCUUGUGGUAAGGGGUGAUAUUGUGGGGAUGUUAGAAGAAACAUUUGUCGUAUAGAAUGAUUGGUGAUGGCCUGGAUACGGUUUUGGAUGAAUUGAGAAGCUAAACGGAAGAUACAAGGUCCGAAUAAAAGGAGGAGAAAAAUGGGUAUUAAAGGACUAAGAAUUGGGAGGACCCAGGACAUCCAAUUAGAGAGUGCCCAAGGGGGUUCAGCGUAAUUACUUGCUUGGUUGGCAAGUUUUUGGGCUCUAUCCUUGAGUUUUUUUAUGUUGUCAUACACCAGGCCAGAUGCAUUUAGGUAAAAACAACACUCCUCAUUUAAGAAUAUGCAGAGUCCUCCUUUUUCAGCAGUAAGUCAGUCAAGGCCUUGGCGGUUUUGGAGGACAACUGCAGCUGAAGAGUCAACUUGGGCCUGGAGGACUGAUAAAGUUUGUGAUUUUGAGGGCCUCUAAAAGUAUUAAAGCAGCGGCAGCCGCUGCACGCAGACAUGAGGGCUAGGUUAAAACAGUAAGGUCAAGUUGUUUGGACAGAAAGGCUACAGGGUGUGGUCCUGGCUCUUGUGUAAGAAUUACGACCACGCUAACCAUGCCUAGGAAGGAAAGGAGUUAUUGUUUUGUAGAAAGGUGCCGGGGUUUGAGAGAUCAGUCGGACACGAUUGGCAGGGAGAGCACGUGUGUUUUUAUGAGAAUUAUGCCGAGAUAGGUAACAGAUGAGGAAGAAAUUUGGGCUUGAUUGAAGUAAUGGGGGCUGUCUGUGAAGCCUUGCGGCAGUACAGCCUAGGUAAUUUGCUGAGCCUAAUGGGUGUCAGGGUCAGUCCAAGUGAAAGCAAAGAGAGGCUGGGAUGAAGGGUGCAAAGGAAUAGUAAAGAAAGCAUGUUUGAGAUCCAGAACAGAAUAAUGGGUUGUAGAGGCAGGUAUUGAGGAUAGGAGAGUAUAUGGGUUUGGCACCACGGGGUGGAUAGGCAAAACAAUUUGGUUGAUAAGGCACAGAUUCUGAACUAACCUGUAAGCCCUGUCUGGUUUUAGGACAGGUAAAAUGGGGGAAUGGUAAGGAGAGUUUAUAGGUUUUAGAAGCCCAUGCUGUAGCAGGCGAGUGAUAACAGGCUUUAAUCCUUUUAAAGCAUGCUGUGGGAUGGGAUACUGGCGUUGAGUGGGGUAAGGGUGAUUAGGUUUUAACGGGAUGGUAAUGGGCAUGUGAUCAGUUGCCAGGGAAGGAGUAGAGAUGUCCCAUACUUGUGGGUUAAGGUGGGGGGAUAUGAAAGAAAGACGCGAAGGAGGCUUUGGGUUAGCGAGAAGGGCAGCAAUGAGUUGCAGCUGUAGUCCAGGAAUAGUCAGGGAAGCAGAUAAUUUGGUUAAAAUAUCUCGGCCUAAUAAGGGAACUGGGCAGGUGGGGAUAACUAAAAAAGAGUGCAUAAAAGAGUGUCGUCCAAGUUGGCACCAGAGUGGGGGAGUUUUAAGAGGUUUAGAAGCCUGGCUGUCAAUACCCACAACAGUUAUGGAGGCAAGGGAAACAGGCCCUUGAAAAGCAGGUGGCGACACGGAGGCCCAGAGUGAGGAAGUCAUGUAUUCAAGGUGGCAGAGCUGGGAUUUGUAUAUCAUCUCUGUACCUGAGCCCCUAACCUGCAAGUCAUAAUAGGCAACGGAUCAAUGUUAUGAUGCAGUGGAGGCCCUUACCAGAAGCCAACCAGAUGCCAGCACCAUGCUCUUGGAUUUCCCAGUCUCCAGAAUGGUGCAGGUGGAGACGGAACCCUAGACACUGCUCAUCCCAAUCAGGCCCUUUCCAGGCCUGUCCCAUUCCAAUCGGGCAUCAGAUGUGGCAUUGAUCAUCAUCUACUUAACAAACGAGGCUCCCCUUUCAAUGCACUUGGGUCUCCUCUGGGCCAACCUUGGUUCUGAGAUAGCAGGUGCUGAAAUACUGCUGAAUCCUCAAAGCCAGACUAGCCAGUGCCUGGCACCUGAUGGGAAUAUGAUUUCAACGAACAGCUCACAGAAUCCUCCCCACAAAGCCGAGAAGCAGGAAGCAGCAACCCUCCCAGAUGAAGAAGCGAAGGCUCGGAAAAGCUAAGUAACUUCUCCAAGCUGACGCAGCUCGUGAGAGGAGGGACUGGGAUUCAAAUCCCUGCAGGGGGAGACCAGCAGCCCCGACUUCAGCCGCCAUGCCUCCUGCCUGAGAAGCUAGCUGCGAAGGUUCCAGAAGGAGACUGCCCUCCGGGAACAGAAACAGCGCAUGACUGCGACCUGUCUGCAAAAAUCUUGAUCACUUGUAAAUCCUUCUCCACCUGAUAAGUUAUCACAUUGGCUCAUGAUGUUUUUUUUCAUUCUCACCCUAUGGCGUGGAUGCUGUUACUACCCCAUUUUACAAAGGAGUAAAGUGAGGCCCAGAGAGAACAGUUAAAUCACUUCCCCAGCUUCACUCAACUCAUCUACGGUGAGUCGACGGUACACAUGCCCUUCCACAACACAAAGGUCUCCACUUUGCCACGUGUCACUCUGAUGGUUCCAGGUGCAGAUUUUGCGUCUGCUUCUUGACUUCUAAUGGCUGCACCAUUUUGCAUUGGAUGGUUAUACCAUCAUUUAUUUGACUCAUCUCCUGUGCACAAGCAUCUAGUUUAUCUGCAAACUUUUGCUACCAAAAACAAUGCUGCAAUGAAUAAAUAAGCUGAUGCCUGCUUCUAAGCGUGCGUGCAUGCUGUAAUGUGAGAUGAAUUCCCAGAAGUGGAGUGGCUGAGUCCAAGAGUAAAUGCAUUUUUCAUUUUGAUAGUAUCGCCAAAUGUCUUUCCAAAGGGGUUGUGCUGGAUCCCACUCCAGCUAGCAAUGUGUGAGAGCACCAAUCCCACCGCCCACUGCAGCACACAUAUUGACGUCGGCUAGUCCAAUACCAGCACAGGCAGCUGGGC